RNAcentral lists this ribosomal RNA (439 nucleotides) under uncultured bacterium. Its description in RNAcentral is "bacterial SSU rRNA". It matches the Rfam family "Bacterial small subunit ribosomal RNA", at positions 958 to 1397 of the family's 1533-position model. The record is from RNAcentral.
AACGCGAAGAACCUUACCUGGGCUUGAACCGCACAGGACCAUCUUUGGAAACAGAGACUUCCCGCAAGGGACCUGUGUAGAGGUGCUGCAUGGCUGUCGUCAGCUCGUGCCGUGAGGUGUUGGGUUAAGUCCCGCAACGAGCGCAACCCUUACUCAUAGUUGCUACCCGCAAGGGAGAACUCUAUGAGGACUGCUCCGGAUAACGGAGAGGAAGGUGGGGAUGAGGUCAAGUCAGCAUGGCCUUUAUGUCCAGGGCUACACACGUGUUACAAUGCGCGCUACAGAGCGUUGCAAACCCGCGAGGGGGAGCUAAUCGCCAAAAACCGUCCUCAGUUCGGAUUGCAGGCUGCAACUCGCCUGCAUGAAGCUGGAAUCGCUAGUAAUGCUAUAUCAGAACGAUAGCGUGAAUACGUUCCCGGGCCUUGUACACACCGCACGA